AGUGAACGCUGGCGGUAGGCCUAACACAUGCAAGUCGAACGGCAGCACAGUAAGAGCUUGCUCUUACGGGUGGCGAGUGGCGGACGGGUGAGGAAUACAUCGGAAUCUACUUUUUCGUGGGGGAUAACGUAGGGAAACUUACGCUAAUACCGCAUACGACCUACGGGUGAAAGCAGGGGAUCUUCGGACCUUGCGCGAUUGAAUGAGCCGAUGUCGGAUUAGCUAGUUGGCGGGGUAAAGGCCCACCAAGGCGACGAUCCGUAGCUGGUCUGAGAGGAUGAUCAGCCACACUGGAACUGAGACACGGGCCAGACUCCUACGGGAGGGAGCAGUGGGGAAUAUUGGACAAUGGGCGCAAGCCUGAUCCAGCCAUACCGCGUGGGUGAAGAAGGCCUUCGGGUUGUAAAGCCCUUUUGUUGGGAAAGAAAAGCAGCAGGUUAAUACCCCGCUGUUCUGACGGUACCCAAGGAAUAAGCACCGGCUAACUUCGUG
This 492-nucleotide ribosomal RNA is filed under the name uncultured bacterium. Its description in RNAcentral is "partial 16S ribosomal RNA". It matches the Rfam family "Bacterial small subunit ribosomal RNA", at positions 29 to 507 of the family's 1533-position model. The record is from RNAcentral.